Long non-coding RNA from Peromyscus leucopus (white-footed mouse), 604 nucleotides. RefSeq lists it as uncharacterized. The record is from RefSeq and is a predicted model, not a curated record. The transcript is spliced from 4 exons. NCBI's taxonomy places the organism in Eukaryota, Metazoa, Chordata, Mammalia, Rodentia, Cricetidae.
GGAGUGUGCAAAGAGCAGAUGGAGAGCUUGACUCUCACAGAUAAUAGUCCUGAGUCACCAUCAAAGGCUUCCAGGAAGGCUUCCCUGUGGAGUGUGAAUUUCCUAGCAGUUUGCCAUUAUCAGCUCCGUUUCCUGCUUUUGGCACAAUCCUUUGCAUUCACUUCCGAGUUUGCUUCCAUGUUCCUCUGCUGCCUCAGAAAGCUGACUAGGACAUCAUGGAAAGACAAGAGUUCAGGUCUUCUGGAGUCCACAGACUAGCUAGUGGGGUCCUGACAAUGAAGUAGAUUUCUAGAGAAAAAUCAGCCAAGAGAACUCCCUGUACCCUAAAUCUACUAACACUGAGAAGAAAAGAAGAAAAAUAUGCUAGAAGCUUUAAAUGGACUGUAAUUUCAGCUGAAAACACAAUUAAGAGAAAGUGAGCUGAGGCUUCAGCUUCGUUGGGAAUCCAGGACCCAGCAGACUAAAUUUCACAUGGUGUUUUCACAGAAAUCCAUGUUUCACAGACUUUUCCCUGAAAGAUCUGAAAUUUCUCCAGUUCAAUUACCUUCAUUUUCCAAGGUAUAUAUCUACUUACUUCUAGAGGUAUACUUUCUGAACAAGUAUU